Molecule: unclassified non-coding RNA, 813 nt
Filed under: Hevea brasiliensis (rubber tree)
Lineage: Eukaryota; Viridiplantae; Streptophyta; Magnoliopsida; Malpighiales; Euphorbiaceae
Source: RNAcentral
CAUCACACCAUUUAUUUCCCCUUUCCUGUUGAGUCUGUCUUACAUCAUAAAUCGAACCAAGCAUUUCGAAAGCCAGAAGGCAAAUCAAGAAAACACACUGACAUUAUUACCAAGUCUUGGUCACCCUAGGUAACAGUUGAAAAUAAGAACUUGUCUAUAUUAUGCAUCAGUUUAAAGAGAACCGUCUAUGGAUUAAAUGUACAUGCCUUUGUAAGGAUCUAGAAGAAAAUAAAUAAUAUGAGACUUCACCCUCCAAGCAAGACUGGACUAUGUUCGGGUUUUCACAGCCUUCCACAGCUGCACCCACUCCACCAUGGAAUCAGCUGCACGGGUGAACACAGGAUCUAUUCGUCCCAGUUGCUCCUUCACGGCUGCUGCAAUCUCAAUCACACAAUCUUCUGCUGUUUUUGCUGCCGGAGUCAAUUUCAUUGAUUGGAAGAAUGGAACAACUUCUUCCAUCAGCUUCACCCCCUCCCACUCUUUCUUCAAACUCUCUAUGGCAUUACCUCUUUCUUUCCUCCACACAUAUGGAAGCCCAGUUUUCACACCAUAUCCUAAGUGAUCACAUACUACCUUAACACACAUUCCAGUCCAUACAUCCUCCACAGUUUCCCACCUGAACUUUCCUUCCUUUGCCAACUUGAAAGAUGGCAGCAAAGCAGGUCCCACCAAUUCACGAUCAAACGCUAUAUUGAUUCCGCUCAUAGGCAUCAUGGCCCUAGCUGGUACAGUGAGGACAGCGUCAACAUAUCGAGUGUUUCUCAGCUCCGGCUUGAGGGCUUGUGUAGGUGCAUCAAGAUCUGCUAAAUUAAG